Molecule: ribosomal RNA, 560 nt
Filed under: Trichosporon sp.
Lineage: Eukaryota; Fungi; Basidiomycota; Tremellomycetes; Trichosporonales; Trichosporonaceae
Description: LSU rRNA
Rfam family: Eukaryotic large subunit ribosomal RNA
Source: RNAcentral
CUUAGUAACGGCGAGUGAACCGGGAAAAGCUCAAAUUUGUAAUCUGGCUGUCUUCGAUAGUCCGAGUUGUAAUCUAUAGACGUGUUUUCCGUGCUGGACCGUAUCUAAGUCCCUUGGAACAGGGUAUCAAAGAGGGUGACAAUCCCGUGCUUGAUACGACCACCAGUGCUCUGUGAUACACGCUCUACGAGUCGAGUUGUUUGGGAAUGCAGCUCAAAAUGGGUGGUAAAUUCCAUCUAAAGCUAAAUAUUGGCGAGAGACCGAUAGCGAACAAGUACCGUGAGGGAAAGAUGAAAAGCACUUUGGAAAGAGAGUUAAACAGUACGUGAAAUUGUUGAAAGGGAAACGAUUGAAGUCAGUCGUGUUCUUUGGAUUCAGCUAGUUCUUCUAGUCUACUUCCUUUGAACGGGUCAACAUCAGUUUUGUCCGGUGGAUAAAGAUAGUAGGAAUGUAGCUCCCUCGGGAGUGUUAUAGACUAUUAUUGCAUGCACUGGGUGAGACUGAGGACUGCAGCUCGCCUUUUGGCCGGCCUUCGGGUACGUUCGAGCUUAGGAUGUUGA